Long non-coding RNA from Rhinolophus ferrumequinum (greater horseshoe bat), 3152 nucleotides. RefSeq lists it as uncharacterized. NCBI's taxonomy places the organism in Eukaryota, Metazoa, Chordata, Mammalia, Chiroptera, Rhinolophidae. The record is from RefSeq and is a predicted model, not a curated record. The transcript has 4 exons.
AGGAGAGAGGACCUCAGUCAGACAGGGCUGCAGGGUCUCAGAGACUUCAAGAUGGAGACUUGGGCUUCAGGAGCCAGAGGAGGGAGCCAGAAUGGAUGAAGGAGAGAGAGACUGGAAAGGUGGAAGCUAUGGACUCGUAACAGCUUGUCCUCUGCUGGUAAGGAAAGCACAGACAGGGCCGUGUGAAGGUUCAGGUACGUCUGCGGCCAAGGGCAGGAAGCCAGGCCUGAGGCACCCACCUGGGGCUCCCUGCUGCUGGCAGCCAUCUCCACCGCGCAGGCACACAUCCGAGGCUGGCACACAGACAGCCGAGCAGGUUCAGCCCCGUGCUGACCUUCAUCUGCCAAGGACAACAGAGCACCUGUCACUGCCCAGCCAGCAGGGAGGGUGCUGGCCUCACAUACCACAGGCGUGACAGGCUUCCUUCAUGGAUUUCGAUCUGGGAAGAAGCACUGACCUGCUCUGGGAACCAACUACCGGAGGUGAGAAAGACACCUGUGCUUCGACUGCUGGAUCCCGUGGGUCAUAGACGCCCAGACCUGCUGCUGGCCCAUAGGCGCCAAGUCAGCCUUCACAGCCAGAGGACGGCGGCUCUAUGCUGCUGGGCAGACAGCAUGCGUGAGGCUGCUGCUUCCUCCUGUGCCCAUGGUAGACCAUUAAUCAUCCUCACAAAGCCAUCGGAGUCGCCAUGGUCGUCUUGCUUCCCUGCUGUUCUAACUCUCCCGCUGGGACACACCCUUGGCCCUCUGGCGGCAACCCACAGAAGCAGCAGAACAGAAGUGGAGAAAAGAGGCUACGGGCAAGCCGGUGAUUGGAACCAGAGGUGACAGCCAGAAGUGGCAGCAAGGGAAGUGACAAGGAUGGUGGAGGCCCCAUGGGCACGUUUGUGUCAGGAACAAGAAACAAGUCAUCCUUCUGCAAAAGAAAAGCCACUGUUCCCACUGCUCACACAUAGGAGCGAGUGGCCAUUUACAAAGCACUUUUCCACUGGCUCAAGUUUUGAAGUCUUAAGGUCGCUAUGAAGAUGGGGAAACUGAGGCUGGAGAGACAGAUGGACUCCCGUGAGGGUGAUGCAUGACUGUCUACCUCCCUGUUCUUGAGAAAGGAGCUGGGAGAGGUUCAUGGGGCAGUCAGCUAACUGGGUCCUCACGCCAGGCCGGCUACCUGUGCUGGCCACCAACGUCACUUACCCUGCUGGCUUUCCCGAUGGGGCGGGCCAGCUGAUACGCCAAGGCUCCUCCUAGCCGAAUAUAUUCUAGGGGCCUGUUAAUGCUGACAGCGUCCCCAGCGACUGCUGCCGAUCUGUGACGGGGGUGGCACCAAACGCGGGCUGCAGAGCCAGCCCCUGGCACUGUCCUCUCAGCUGGAAGAGGCCACAAAGGGAUUUGGAGGAGGCCCGGCUCGGCUACUUACUGGCUGUGUGACCACGGGAAAUCGCUUAACCUUUCUGAGCCUCAUUCCUCCUCUUUGCAACGAGAAAGCCGACCCUGCCUCCCGAGAUGGGCUGCGAGGUUCAAGGUCUGAGCCAGGGUGGUAGGCAGCAGGAUGGCCGCCAAGGACAUCCAUGGACUCAUCCCCGAACCUGUGACUGUCUUAGGUUACGUGGCAAAGGGGAGUUAACGUUGCUAAUCAGGUGACCUUGAGGUGGGGAGAUGAUCCUGGAUUCUCUGGCGGGGCCCAAUGUUAUCACAGGUGUCCUUAAUGGAGAAAGAGGGGGACAGAGGAGACAUGUUUGAGGAUGCUGGGCCGCUGGCUUUGAAGAUGGAGGAAGGGGUCACAGGCCCAGGAAGGCAGCUGGCCUCCAGAAGCUGGAAAAGGCAAGGAAACAGAUUCUCCCCUAGAGUGUCCAGAAGGGAAGGCAGCCCUGCCGAUGCCUUGAUGUUAGCCCAGGGAGCCCCAUUUCAAACUGCUGAUCUCCAGAAACGUAAGGUAACAUAGCUGUGUCAUUUUAAGCGGCCGAGUUUGUGAUCAUUUGUUACAGCAGCAGUAGGAAACAGAUACAGUCACCUGCAGCACUUAACACAGUGCCUGGCACAGCAAGUGUCUUAAGUGGGCACAAUUACUGUUAAUUUCUGCAGCCAGGUGGGGGCUCGGUCUCCUAGUCCUUAAAAGUGGGGUUGGCCUCAAUGGCUCCAGGACCCCUUCCAGCUCUCUGAUGUCCUAAUGAGAAGGACAUUAGUCCUAGUGAUGGCCAGGCAGUAACUGGACAACUUAUUUGCUUGGUGUUAAAUAAAACUAAGGGCCAUGAACUCAUAUCUGUGUUAUAUGAAAACACAGUAGAGGGAUGACAGUAACAUGAAAACAAUUCGAGUGUUACAUUUGCAUAAUUAUGGGAGACUUAAAAUAUAUGUUUUUAUAGUGUUCUAAAGUUAAGAUUGUAAUAUAAACUUUUUUCCUUUAAAAAAAAAAAAAGCCUAGAAAAUCACUCCUCGCCAGGGACAUUGGAACAAAGAUAGAAUUCUGUUUCCCAGCCUGCCUUUCUGCCAUCUGCCCAUGUAGACAAGGGCUUGGCCACGGGUUAGACACACCUUGGGGUAAGGCCUGGAUCUCCUUACUGGCUGUUUGACCUUGAGAAAUGUUGUGACCUCUCUAAGCCUCAGUUUACUUAUCUGUAGCAUGGGGAAGUAAGUACCUAACUCAGAGGGUUGUUGAGAAGAUUCAGUUAAAUAAAGGUACCGUUUAUCUAAAGUGCUUAACAGAGAGAGCACCCGGUACGCCUGAAGUGCUCAGCCUCUGGUGACCCCCUCCCGAUUUUCCCACCACAGCCAAACCCCACAACAUGCUGCAGCUCUUCCAGGCCUUCCCUGUCCUGCUGCCAGGCCAUUGUACGUGCUGUCUCCUGUGCUGGAGGUCUCUUCUCCCAUCCUGAUCUGAAUCCUGCCCGGCCUCCACAGAUCUCCCAGGGCCAUUGGAGCUGGGAGUACAGUGGCCUGUUGUUUGGAACACCCAUGGCAUUUUCUCUUGGUGGCUCCGCAUUUGUCACCUCAAACUGGCAUUCUGUCGCCCCUGUGCCUUGUGUCCAUCCCGGACCGUGAGCUGCCUCUGUGGCCCCGCUAAAUAAAUGCUCAGCAAUGAGAGACGUGCUCCUCACGUGCCCCCUGCCUGCACCUCCCCUUUCAGAACCUCCUCUUGCUUCCGUCCCCAUGUGUUAA